AGUCGAGCGAAUGGAUUAAGAGCUUGCUCUUAUGAAGUUAGCGGCGGACGGGUGAGUAACACGUGGGUAACCUGCCCAUAAGACUGGGAUAACUCCGGGAAACCGGGGCUAAUACCGGAUAACAUUUUGAACCGCAUGGUUCGAAAUUGAAAGGCGGCUUCGGCUGUCACUUAUGGAUGGACCCGCGUCGCAUUAGCUAGUUGGUGAGGUAACGGCUCACCAAGGCAACGAUGCGUAGCCGACCUGAGAGGGUGAUCGGCCACACUGGGACUGAGACACGGCCCAGACUCCUACGGGAGGCAGCAGUAGGGAAUCUUCCGCAAUGGACGAAAGUCUGACGGAGCAACGCCGCGUGAGUGAUGAAGGCUUUCGGGUCGUAAAACUCUGUUGUUAGGGAAGAACAAGUGCUAGUUGAAUAAGCUGGCACCUUGACGGUACCUAACCAGAAAGCCACGGCUAACUACGUGCCAGCAGCCGCGGUAAUACGUAGGUGGCAAGCGUUAUCCGGAAUUAUUGGGCGUAAAGCGCGCGCAGGUGGUUUCUUAAGUCUGAUGUGAAAGCCCACGGCUCAACCGUGGAGGGUCAUUGGAAACUGGGAGACUUGAGUGCAGAAGAGGAAAGUGGAAUUCCAUGUGUAGCGGUGAAAUGCGUAGAGAUAUGGAGGAAC
This 667-nucleotide ribosomal RNA is filed under the name uncultured bacterium. RNAcentral describes it as "bacterial SSU rRNA". It matches the Rfam family "Bacterial small subunit ribosomal RNA", at positions 60 to 707 of the family's 1533-position model. The record is from RNAcentral.